UGGCGGGGCCUAUACUGCAGUCGAGCGGACUGAUGGGAGCUUGCUCCCUGAUGUUAGCGGCGGACGGGUGAGUAACACGUGGGCAACCUACCUGUAAGACUGGGAUAACUCCGGGAAACCGGGGCUAAUACCGGAUAACCCGUUCCUCCUCAUGGAGGGACGGUAAAAGAUGGCUUCUUGCUAUCACUGACAGAUGGGCCCGCGGCGCAUUAGCUAGUUGGUAAGGUAAUGGCUUACCAAGGCGACGAUGCGUAGCCGACCUGAGAGGGUGAUCGGCCACACUGGGACUGAGACACGGCCCAGACUCCUACGGGAGGCAGCAGUAGGGAAUCUUCCGCAAUGGACGAAAGUCUGACGGAGCAACGCCGCGUGAGUGAUGAAGGUUUUCGGAUCGUAAAGCUCUGUUGUUAGGGAAGAACAAGUGCCGUUCGAAUAGGGCGGCACCUUGACGGUACCUAACCAGAAAGCCACGGCUAACUACGUGCCAGCAGCCGCGGUAAUACGUAGGUGGCAAGCGUUGUCCGGAAUUAUUGGGCGUAAAGCGCGCGCAGGCGGUCUUUUAAGUCUGAUGUGAAAGCCCACGGCUCAACCGUGGAGGGUCAUUGGAAACUGGGAGACUUGAGUACAGAAGAGGAGAGUGGAAUUCCACGUGUAGCGGUGAAAUGCGUAGAUAUGUGGAGGAACACCAGUGGCGAAGGCGACUCUCUGGUCUGUAACUGACGCUGAGGCGCGAAAGCGUGGGGGAGCAAACAGGAUUAGAUACCCUGGUAGUCCACGCCGUAAACGAUGAGUGCUAGGUGUUAGGGGUUUCGAUGCCCUUAGUGCCGAAGU
Molecule: ribosomal RNA, 831 nt
Filed under: Bacillus sp. 2023
Lineage: Bacteria; Bacillati; Bacillota; Bacilli; Caryophanales; Bacillaceae
Description: bacterial SSU rRNA
Rfam family: Bacterial small subunit ribosomal RNA
Source: RNAcentral